This 686-nucleotide ribosomal RNA is filed under the name Thekopsora ostryae. RNAcentral's name for it is "eukaryotic LSU rRNA". The stretch from base 255 to 408 matches the Rfam family "5.8S ribosomal RNA". Lineage: Eukaryota; Fungi; Basidiomycota; Pucciniomycetes; Pucciniales; Coleosporiaceae. The record is from RNAcentral.
UUUCCGUAGGUGAACCUGCGGAAGGAUCAUUAUUAAAAUGUAAAGGAGAGCACUUUAUUGUGACUCUGGAACCUUUAAAUAUAAAUUUUAAACCCAAAGCUGUUAUGUGUGCCUUUUAGGUAUAGCAUCUCAGUAGUACGUCUUGACUUGUGUUUACAUGAGUUUUGACAUUACCCCCCUUAUAAGUGACCCCCCUUUUUGUUAAUUGAUGGACUUUAAAUAAUGUUUUAAGAAUGUAAACCCCCUAAUAAUAUAACUUUUAACAAUGGAUCUCUUGGCUCUCACAUCGAUGAAGAACACAGUGAAAUGUGAUAAGUAAUGUGAAUUGCAGAAUUCAGUGAAUCAUCGAAUCUUUGAACGCACCUUGCACCUUUUGGUAUUCCAAAAGGUACACCUGUUUGAGUGUCAUGAAACCCUCUCAUUCUGAUUCUUUAUUUGAUAUAAGGAGUUGGUAUGGAUGUUGAGUGUUGCCGUCAUUGGCUCGCUUUAAAUACAUAAGUACUUUUGUCUUGAAAAAUGAAUGGAGAAAUACUUGGUGUAAUAUUUAUGUUUCAUUAAGGAGUGUGGUUUUUAUACUGCAGCCAUUUGUUUGGGAUAAAUAGCUUCCUAACCCUAUUAUAUUUAAACUUUAGACCUCAAAUCAGGUGGGACUACCCGCUGAACUUAAGCAUAUCAAUAAGCGGAGG